GGAGUCCAACGUGUGCGCAAGUCAUUGGGCGUUGCAAACCCAUAGGCGAAAUCAAGGUGAAGGUGAGCUUGCUCACCCCGGGGAGGAGGGGCCGGCCGUGUUGCGCCUUGCGCGUCACGGUUCCCCGCACUCCCGCGGCGCCUCACGCUCAUUGCGAGCCGAGGCGGACCUAGAGCGCACACGUUGGGACCCGAAAGAUGGUGAACUAUGCCUGGCCAGGACGAAGCCAGGGGAAACCCUGGUGGAGGUCCGUAGCGGUUCUGACGUGCAAAUCGAUCGUCAGAGCUGGGUAUAGGGGCGAAAGACUAAUCGAACCAUCUAGUAGCUGGUUCCCUCCGAAGUUUCCCUCAGGAUAGCUGUCGCCCGUGUGAGACGAGUCUCAUCCGGUAAAGCGAAUGAUUAGAGGCAUUGGGGUCGAAACGACCUCAACCUAUUCUCAAACUUUAAAUGGAUGAGAACCCCGGCUUGCUUGAUGACUUGAGUUGAAGCCGGGGCUCGGAUCCGGGUGGCAAGUGGGCCAUUUUUG
Molecule: ribosomal RNA, 526 nt
Filed under: Rhagadotarsus kraepelini
Lineage: Eukaryota; Metazoa; Arthropoda; Insecta; Hemiptera; Gerridae
Description: eukaryotic LSU rRNA
Rfam family: Eukaryotic large subunit ribosomal RNA
Source: RNAcentral